AUGUUUGCCGUGAAAAAUAUUUUAAAACCAUGACCACUAAGGUGAUUUUCCCAGGGCGAGGCUUAUCCAUUGCACUCCGGAUGUGCUGACCCCUGCGAUUUCCCCAAAUGUGGGAAACUCGACUGCAUAAUUAAAGAUGAUGUUAGAAUUAUAUUGUUUUAUCUGGUG
This is a small nuclear RNA of Callithrix jacchus (white-tufted-ear marmoset), 168 nucleotides long. Its record names the gene U1. It matches the Rfam family "U1 spliceosomal RNA". Rfam says of the family: U1 is a small nuclear RNA (snRNA) component of the spliceosome (involved in pre-mRNA splicing). Its 5' end forms complementary base pairs with the 5' splice junction, thus defining the 5' donor site of an intron. There are significant differences in sequence and secondary structure between metazoan and yeast U1 snRNAs, the latter being much longer (568 nucleotides as compared to 164 nucleotides in human). NCBI's taxonomy places the organism in Eukaryota, Metazoa, Chordata, Mammalia, Primates, Cebidae. The record is from Ensembl.